GACGAACGCUGGCGGCGUGCUUAACACAUGCAAGUCGAACGGAAAGGCCCUGCUUUUGUGGGGUGCUCGAGUGGCGAACGGGUGAGUAACACGUGAGUAACCUGCCCUUGACUUUGGGAUAACUUCAGGAAACUGGGGCUAAUACCGGAUAGGAGCUCCUGCUGCCUGGUGGGGGUUGGAAAGUUUCGGCGGUUGGGGAUGGACUCGCGGCUUAUCAGCUUGUUGGUGGGGUAGUGGCUUACCAAGGCUUUGACGGGUAGCCGGCCUGGGAGGGUGACCGGCCACAUUGGGACUGAGAUACGGCCCAGACUCCUACGGGAGGCAGCAGUGGGGAAUAUUGCACAAUGGGCGGAAGCCUGAUGCAGCAACGCCGCGUGCGGGAUGACGGCCUUCGGGUUGUAAACCGCUUUCGCCUGUGACGAAGCGUGAGUGACGGUAAUGGGUAAAGAAGCACCGGCUAACUACGUG
Molecule: ribosomal RNA, 468 nt
Filed under: uncultured bacterium
Lineage: Bacteria
Description: partial 16S ribosomal RNA
Rfam family: Bacterial small subunit ribosomal RNA
Source: RNAcentral